RNAcentral lists this small nuclear RNA (164 nucleotides) under Sus scrofa (pig). RNAcentral's name for it is "U1 spliceosomal RNA (ENSSSCG00025046651.1, ENSSSCG00175045766.1)". It matches the Rfam family "U1 spliceosomal RNA". From Rfam's summary of the family: U1 is a small nuclear RNA (snRNA) component of the spliceosome (involved in pre-mRNA splicing). Its 5' end forms complementary base pairs with the 5' splice junction, thus defining the 5' donor site of an intron. The record is from RNAcentral. Lineage: Eukaryota; Metazoa; Chordata; Mammalia; Artiodactyla; Suidae.
AUACUUACCUGGUAGGGGAAACACCAUGAUCAGGAAGGUGGUUUUCCCAGGGCGAGGUUCACCCAUUGCACUGCGGGUGUGCUGACCUCUGCGAUUUCCCCAAAUGCGGGAAACUCGACUGCAUAAUUUGUGGUAGUGGGGGACUGCGUUCGCGCUCUCCCCUG